ACAGAGGGUGCAAGCGUUAAUCGGAAUUACUGGGCGUAAAGCGAACGUAGGCGGUUAUCUAAGUCGGAUGUGAAAUCCCCGGGCUCAACCUGGGAAUUGCAUUCGAGACUGAAUAGCUAGAAUGCGGAAGAGGGAAGCGGAAUUUCCGGUGUAGCGGUGAAAUGCGUAGAUAUCGGAAGGAACAUCAGUGGCGAAAGCGGCUUCCUGGUCCAGCAUUGACGCUCAGGUUCGAAAGCGUGGGGAGCAAACAGGAUUAGAUACCCUGGUAGUCCACGCCAUAAACGAUGAGGACUAGACGUUGAGAGGGUUAGCCUCCCAGUGUCGCAGCUAACGCGCUAAGUCCUCCGCCUGGGGAGUACGGCCGCAAGGUUG
This 372-nucleotide ribosomal RNA is filed under the name uncultured bacterium. Its description in RNAcentral is "bacterial SSU rRNA". It matches the Rfam family "Bacterial small subunit ribosomal RNA", at positions 525 to 896 of the family's 1533-position model. The record is from RNAcentral.